GAUGAAGAACGUAGCGAAAUGCGAUAAGUAAUGUGAAUUGCAGAAUUCAGUGAAUCAUCGAAUCUUUGAACGCACAUUGCGCCCCUUGGUAUUCCGAGGGGCAUGCCUGUUCGAGCGUCAUAUUAACCACUCCCGCUUGCGGGGUCUUGGGCUUCGCCUCCGGGCGGGCCUUAAAAUCAGUGGCGGUGCCGUCGGGCUCUACGCGUAGUAAAUUUUCUCGCGAUAGGUUCCCGGUGGAUGCUUGCCAACAACCCCCAACUUCUUAAGGUUGACCUCGGAUCAGGUAGGGAUACCCGCUGAACUUAAGCAUAUCAAUAAGCGGAGGA
RNAcentral lists this unclassified non-coding RNA (326 nucleotides) under soil metagenome. RNAcentral describes it as "partial contains 5.8S ribosomal RNA, internal transcribed spacer 2, and large subunit ribosomal RNA". The stretch from base 1 to 120 matches the Rfam family "5.8S ribosomal RNA", at positions 35 to 154 of the family's 154-position model. The record is from RNAcentral.